Molecule: long non-coding RNA, 520 nt
Organism: Rhipicephalus microplus (southern cattle tick)
Lineage: Eukaryota; Metazoa; Arthropoda; Arachnida; Ixodida; Ixodidae
Source: RefSeq, a predicted model, not a curated record
GGCACGUAAAGGGACAUUGACGAGUUUUGAACACCAGUGAGCAACUACAUAUAACAGUUGAAACUAGGGACCAUUCAGAAACAACUGAGGUGGACGUGCUUCGAGAGAACCAGUGAAGCCCAAAAGAGAAACAUGCAUCUGAAGCUUAUUCUUGUCGGCCUGACCAUCUUUGGCCUCAUUGUUGCUGAAAGUGGUGCCAUGCCGGCCAGCGCGAGUGCCCAAGAGGCCGAGGCAAGGGCUGAACCCGAGUCAGCGGAGCGCGCAGGAGCAAGGCAACGCUGAGGAGGCACGCAUCAGUGAAGCAUGCAUGGCAUCCCUGUGUGGCUAGGAGCCUGGUGCAACGGAAUGACACAUUUUACCAGAGACGUCGCGCACCGCCAAAGAAUUGAUACUUAAAAGGCUGCGUACACAUUCGACAACGGCCUAUGAAAUUGCAGCACCGAAAGUUAGGGUCAGUUGAUACCUGUAAAAUGCAUUCCGGCAUCAAAUAAAGGUCUGUCUAAACGGCAUUUCUGUUGAA